UGAGUAUAGAAGCUGUGAUAUUAUGUUUCAGCUGUUCAAGGUGCUGGUGAGGCCUUAGGUGGAGUAUUGUGUUCAGUUUUGGUCACCCGGCUAUUGGAAAGAUGCUAAACUGGAGAGGGUGCAGAGAAGAU
Molecule: long non-coding RNA, 131 nt
Organism: Amblyraja radiata (thorny skate)
Lineage: Eukaryota; Metazoa; Chordata; Chondrichthyes; Rajiformes; Rajidae
Exons: 3
Source: RefSeq, a predicted model, not a curated record